RNAcentral lists this ribosomal RNA (253 nucleotides) under uncultured bacterium. RNAcentral's name for it is "partial 16S ribosomal RNA". It matches the Rfam family "Bacterial small subunit ribosomal RNA", at positions 524 to 776 of the family's 1533-position model. The record is from RNAcentral.
UACAGAGGUCUCAAGCGUUGUUCGGAUUCAUUGGGCGUAAAGGGUGCGUAGGCGGCGCGGUAAGUCGGGUGUGAAAUUUCGGAGCUUAACUCCGAAACUUCAUUCGAUACUGCCGUGCUUGAGGACUGGAGAGGAGACUGGAAUUUACGGUGUAGCAGUGAAAUGCGUAGAGAUCGUAAGGAAGACCAGUGGCGAAGGCGGGUCUCUGGACAGUUCCUGACGCUGAGGCACGAAGGCCAAGGGAGCAAACGGG